AGGACGAACGCUGGCGGCGUGCUUAACACAUGCAAGUCGAACGGUGAAGGAGAGCUUGCUCUCUGGAUCAGUGGCGAACGGGUGAGUAACACGUGGGUAACCUGCCCUUGACUCUGGGAUAAGCGUUGGAAACGACGUCUAAUACCGGAUACGAGCUUUCGCGCAUGGCUAGGAGCUGGGAAAGAAUUUCGGCAAGGAUGGACUCGCGCCUAUCAGCUAGUGGUGAGGUAAUGGCUCACCAAGGCGACGACGGGUAGCCGGCCUGAGAGGGUGACCGGCCACACUGGGACUGAGACACGGCCCAGACUCCUACGGGAGGCAG
Molecule: ribosomal RNA, 322 nt
Filed under: uncultured soil bacterium
Lineage: Bacteria
Description: bacterial SSU rRNA
Rfam family: Bacterial small subunit ribosomal RNA
Source: RNAcentral